This 619-nucleotide long non-coding RNA is filed under the name Capsicum annuum. Its description in RNAcentral is "long non-coding RNA (CANN_LNC017409)". Lineage: Eukaryota; Viridiplantae; Streptophyta; Magnoliopsida; Solanales; Solanaceae. The record is from RNAcentral.
UCCUUAUCAACCAGAUAAAUCAUUCUUAUAUAUCUAUGAACUUCUUUAAUAGAUACAUGAUUCUUUUGUAUCUCCAUUAACAUCAUCAUUUCAACCUUUAUUGACGAAUCCCCAAACUCCCUUCAUACUCCACCCCUAACUCCCUCUAUCUUUAUCUCAGGCCACCGUCGCUAGUAAACCCUAAGUGGAGAAUCGCCAAAUAGACCCCAACUCCGUCUCUUAUCUCACCACGCAUUUAUAACCUCAUCCUGCUCCGAUCAGCAUCGCAUUACCAAUGAAACUCCCUUGAAAAAACACUAUCUCCACCUAGAAAAGAAUGUCAUUCAAACUGCCACUUGUGGCAAACCCAUUCAUAAUUACCAUUGAAACACAAUGUUUGAGUUUGCAAUAAUAGCGGCUAUAGCGAGAGAACUCCAAAAUUCAAGUUUGUUGUUAAGAUUUGAGAACAUGUGACGGAAUGGAAUGGGUAUAUUGAUGGGUUUGGUAUAAAAAAAAUAAUUGAAUGAAAUGAAUUGAAUUUGCGAUUUGGCAAAAUAUGGGGUCUAUUUGGCGAGAAAGUGGGGACAUUCUGAUGUAUCCAAAGUUUUGGAGUGAGAAAAUGUAAGAAGAGAUUUUCAUA